RNAcentral lists this ribosomal RNA (497 nucleotides) under uncultured bacterium. Its description in RNAcentral is "partial 16S ribosomal RNA". It matches the Rfam family "Bacterial small subunit ribosomal RNA", at positions 28 to 507 of the family's 1533-position model. The record is from RNAcentral.
GAUGAACGCUGGCGGCGUGCCUAAUACAUGCAAGUCGAGCGAACAGACGAGGAGCUUGCUCCUCUGACGUUAGCGGCGGACGGGUGAGUAACACGUGGAUAACCUACCUAUAAGACUGGGAUAACUUCGGGAAACCGGAGCUAAUACCGUAUAAUAUAUUGAACCGCAUGGUUCAAUAGUGAAAGACGGUUUUGCUGUCACUUAUAGAUGGAUCCGCGCCGCAUUAGCUAGUUGGUAAGGUAACGGCUUACCAAGGCAACGAUGCGUAGCCGACCUGAGAGGGUGAUCGGCCAGCCUGGAACUGAGACACGGCCCAGACUCAUACGGGAGGCAGCAGGAGGGAAUCUUCAGCAAUGGGCGAAAGCCUGACGGAGAAACGCCGCGGGAGUGAUGAAGGUCUUCGGAUCGUAAAACUCGGUUAUUAGGGAAGAACAAAUGUGUAAGUAACUAUGCACGUCUUGACGGUACCUAAGCAGAAAGCCACGGCUAAAUACGUG